AUGAAGGGCUGUUUUCUUUUAUGUUGUUUGUCUUGUUUUCCAUUUGUGUCUUUUGUUGUUCGAAAAAAUAGUUCAUGUUCCAUGUACUCGUACUUUGUAUCUUUUUAUUGUACACGUUUUGUGAUAUCCUGUGGCCACA
Molecule: long non-coding RNA, 139 nt
Organism: Octopus sinensis (East Asian common octopus)
Lineage: Eukaryota; Metazoa; Mollusca; Cephalopoda; Octopoda; Octopodidae
Exons: 3
Source: RefSeq, a predicted model, not a curated record